RNAcentral lists this unclassified non-coding RNA (205 nucleotides) under Hevea brasiliensis (rubber tree). Lineage: Eukaryota; Viridiplantae; Streptophyta; Magnoliopsida; Malpighiales; Euphorbiaceae. The record is from RNAcentral.
UGAUUGCCAGCUAGAAGUACAUUCCAACAUUAUCUGUGAUCAUCAGAUAGCAAUAGAAUCCUUGGACUUAAAUUAAGUUGCAUGCAAUCGUGGAGUAACUGUAAUGCCCUCCUGCUAGAUACCCUACUCAUCUCCUGACCAUGAGUAGCUGUUUAGACCAAUCCAUGUGAUACUUCCACGAAUUAUUUGAAUUCUAUCUCCUUUG